Molecule: ribosomal RNA, 372 nt
Filed under: uncultured organism
Description: bacterial SSU rRNA
Rfam family: Bacterial small subunit ribosomal RNA
Source: RNAcentral
CGUAGGGACCGAGCGUUGUCCGGAUUCAUUGGGCGUAAAGAGCUCGUAGGCGGCCACUCAAGUCGAAUGUGAAACCUCGAGGCUUAACCUCGAGCCUGCAUUCGAUACUGGGCGGCUAGAGUCUGGUAGGGGAUCUGGAAUUCCUGGUGUAGCGGUGGAAUGCGCAGAUAUCAGGAGGAACACCGGUGGCGAAGGCGGGAUCCUGGGCCAGUACUGACGCUGAGGAGCGAAAGCGUGGGGAGCAAACAGGAUUAGAUACCCUGGUAGUCCACGCCGUAAACGAUGGGCGCUAGGUGUGGGAGGUCAUCGACUCCUUCCGUGCCGCAGCUAACGCAUUAAGCGCCUCGCCUGGGGAGUACGGCCGCAAGGCUA